GACGAACGCUGGCGGCGUGCCUAAUACAUGCAAGUCGAGCGGACAGGCUUGGGGCUUGCCCUGAUUCCGUCAGCGGCGGACGGGUGAGUAACACGUGGGCAACCUGCCUGCAAGACCGGGAUAACUCCGGGAAACCGGAGCUAAUACCGGAUAACAUCUUGGACCGCAUGGUCCUCUGUUGAAAGGCGGCCUUUGGGCUGUCACUUGCGGAUGCCCCCCCGGCGGAUUAGCUAGUUGGUGAGGCAACCGCUCAACAAGGCGAAGGAGCGGAGCCCGCCUGGGGAGGGGGCCGGCCACACUGGGACUGGGACCCGGCCCAGGCUCCCACGGGGAGGAGCAAGAGGGAAACUUCCGGAAUGGGCGGAAGCCUUACGGGACGACGCCGGGGGGGGGAAGAAGGCCUUCGGGUCGGAAAGAUCUGUUUUGAGGGGCGAAGGAGCGUCGUACGAAGAGAGGGGCGCGGUGACGGUACCUCACGAGAAAGCCCCGGCUAACUACGUG
Molecule: ribosomal RNA, 501 nt
Filed under: uncultured bacterium
Lineage: Bacteria
Description: partial 16S ribosomal RNA
Rfam family: Bacterial small subunit ribosomal RNA
Source: RNAcentral